GAUGAACGCUGGCGGCGUGCCUAAUACAUGCAAGUCGAGCGAACAGACGAGGAGCUUGCUCCUCUGACGUUAGCGGCGGACGGGUGAGUAACACGUGGAUAACCUACCUAUAAGACUGGGAUAACUUCGGGAAACCGGAGCUAAUACCGGAUAAUAUAUUGAACCGCAUGGUUCAAUAGUGAAAGACGGUUUUGCUGUCACUUAUAGAUGGAUCCGCGCCGCAUUAGCUAGUUGGUAAGGUAACGGCUUACCAAGGCAACGAUGCGUAGCCGACCUGAGAGGGUGAUCGGCCACACUGGAACUGAGACACGGUCCAGACUCCUACGGGAGGCAGCAGUAGGGAAUCUUCCGCAAUGGGCGAAAGCCUGACGGAGCAACGCCGCGUGAGUGAUGAAGGUCUUCGGAUCGUAAAAAUCUGUUAUUAGGGAAGAACAAAUGUGUAAGUAACUAUGCACGUCUUGACGGUACCUAGUCAGAAAGCCACGGCUAACUACGUG
This 497-nucleotide ribosomal RNA is filed under the name uncultured bacterium. RNAcentral's name for it is "partial 16S ribosomal RNA". It matches the Rfam family "Bacterial small subunit ribosomal RNA", at positions 28 to 507 of the family's 1533-position model. The record is from RNAcentral.